Long non-coding RNA from Myotis davidii, 523 nucleotides. RefSeq lists it as uncharacterized. The record is from RefSeq and is a predicted model, not a curated record. Lineage: Eukaryota; Metazoa; Chordata; Mammalia; Chiroptera; Vespertilionidae. The transcript has 2 exons.
AGCCCAAGUGCCCAUAUGAACCUCUCUGCCCCAGCUGAGGGGAAGACUGUGCUGAAGCCAGAAGGUGCAGAAGCCAGAGUAUGAAGUGGAAUGAAUGCCCUGUUCCGAGAAGCACACUUGUUAUGCACCUGCUCUUUGUCUUCCUGGCCUGUGCUUUUCUACAAUGAGGAUGAUGAGUCUGGACAACAGCCAACCUGGAAGAUUCUUUUCUCUUGGGCAUUGCAGCCAGACUUAGCACAUUUCCCUGCACCUGGAACUGGAAAUGCUGUCAGUGGACUUUGGGCCUUUGGGAAAAGGCACCCUAGAGAGUGUCCACGUGUGAAAAAGGAAGCCUGUUGGGGAAAAAGGCAGACAAUCUGAAAUGCAAAUUAUUAACUCUCCACUUGCAAUUCUCUUGAAGCCUCAGGAGAGCAAUUAACUUGGAUGGUAUCAAAGAAGUCUGCUGGAGGGGCAGGAGUUUGCAGCCAAACCUGUAUUCUUACCUGGGCCCCACUUCUUGUAGCUGUGAAACUUUUGCAACUUA